RNAcentral lists this non-coding RNA (182 nucleotides) under Deltaproteobacteria bacterium. RNAcentral's name for it is "6S RNA". It matches the Rfam family "6S / SsrS RNA". Rfam says of the family: E. coli 6S RNA was the first non coding RNA to be sequenced, but its function was unknown until recently. It consists of 184 nucleotides that fold into an extended hairpin structure with a large single-stranded internal bulge. RNAcentral also lists the same sequence under 1 other name. The record is from RNAcentral. Lineage: Bacteria; Pseudomonadati; Myxococcota; Myxococcia.
ACACCCCUGCGGUGUUGGUGAUUGGCAGCAAGUUCUUGAGCCAACAUUGAUAGAACGGGGACCCUUCCUUGGCACGGUGUGUCGACUCGGUUUUCCGAAGCGCCUAAAGUGUCAACAGGGACCCCACCUGGAAUAACCAGGUUCAUAACAACCUGUCAACACGGCAUCCUCGCGGGGGAUUU